This 515-nucleotide ribosomal RNA is filed under the name uncultured bacterium. RNAcentral describes it as "partial 16S ribosomal RNA". It matches the Rfam family "Bacterial small subunit ribosomal RNA", at positions 29 to 523 of the family's 1533-position model. The record is from RNAcentral.
AGCGAACGUUAGCGGCGCGCCUAACACAUGCAAGUCGCACGCGAAAGGGAGCAAUCCUGAGUAAAGUGGCGCACGGGUGCGUAACACGUAGAUAACCUGCCCUUCGUUGGGGGAUAACGUUCCGAAAGGAGCGCUAAUACCGCAUACAGCGUUCUGGGGUUUGCCCUGGGAUGGCAAAGGCGGGGACCGGCAACGGCCAGUCGACGAAGGAGGGGUCUGCGGCCCAUCAGCUAGUUGGUGAGGUAAUGGCUCACCAAGGCAGAGACGGGUAGCUGGUCUGAGAGGAUGAUCAGCCACACUGGUACUGGAACACGGACCAGACUCCUACGGGAGGCAGCAGUGGGGAAUCUUGGUCAAUGGGCGAAAGCCUGAACCAGCGACGCCGCGUGAGUGAUGAAGGCCUUCGGGUUGUAAAGCUCUGUGGGGAGAGACGAAAGAGCACGUUCUAACAGGACGUGUGUUGACGGUAUCUCCUUAGCAAGCACCGGCUAACUCUGUGCCAGCCGCCGCGGUAA